RNAcentral lists this ribosomal RNA (488 nucleotides) under uncultured bacterium. RNAcentral's name for it is "bacterial SSU rRNA". It matches the Rfam family "Bacterial small subunit ribosomal RNA", at positions 29 to 493 of the family's 1533-position model. The record is from RNAcentral.
AACUAACGCUGGCGGCGUGCCUAACACAUGCAAGUCGUACGAGAAAGUUGGCUUCGGCCGAUGAGUACAGUGGCGCACGGGUGAGUAACGCGUGGAUAAUCUGCCCUUAAGUGUGGAAUAACGUACCGAAAGGUGCGCUAAUACCGCAUAAUGCCUGGCAACAUAAAGUUGUCCGGCCAAAGAAGGCCUCUGCUUGCAAGCUUUCGCUAAAGGAUGAGUCCGCGUACCAUUAGCUAGUUGGUGGGGUAACGGCCUACCAAGGCGACGAUGGUUAGCUGGUCUGAGAGGAUGAUCAGCCACACUGGAACUGAGACACGGUCCAGACUCCUACGGGAGCAGCAGUGAGGAUAUUGCGCAAUGGGGGCAACCCUGACGCAGCAACGCCGCGUGAGUGAGGAAGGUUUUCGGACUGUAAAGCUCUGUCGAGCGGGGAAGAAGUGACCAUGGCUAAUAUCCAUGAUACUUGACGGUACCGCUAAAGGAAGACC